RNAcentral lists this ribosomal RNA (237 nucleotides) under uncultured bacterium. Its description in RNAcentral is "partial 16S ribosomal RNA". It matches the Rfam family "Bacterial small subunit ribosomal RNA", at positions 118 to 353 of the family's 1533-position model. The record is from RNAcentral.
UGAGCAAUCUGCCCUUCUCUUCGGAAUAAGCGUUGGAAACGACGUCUAAUGCCGAAUACGACCUCCUUUCGCAUGAUCGGAGGUGGAAAGCUCCGGCGGAGAAGGAUGAGCUCGCGGCCUAUCAGCUAGUUGGUGUAGGUAAUGGCCCACCAAGGCGACGACGGGUAGCCGGCCUGAGAGGGUGACCGGCCACACUGGGACUGAGACACGGCCCAGACCUCCGUACGGGAGGNAGCG